RNAcentral lists this ribosomal RNA (427 nucleotides) under uncultured bacterium. RNAcentral describes it as "partial 16S ribosomal RNA". It matches the Rfam family "Bacterial small subunit ribosomal RNA", at positions 355 to 774 of the family's 1533-position model. The record is from RNAcentral.
UGGGGAAUAUUGGACAAUGGGCGAAAGCCUGAUCCAGCCAUGCCGCGUGUGUGAAGAAGGUCUUCGGAUUGUAAAGCACUUUAAGUGGGGAGGAAGGGCAUUAACCUAAUACGUUAGUGUUUUGACGUUACCGACAGAAUAAGCACCGGCUAACUCUGUGCCAGCAGCCGCGGUAAUACAGAGGGUGCAAGCGUUAAUCGGAAUUACUGGGCGUAAAGCGCGCGUAGGUGGUUUGUUAAGUUGGAUGUGAAAGCCCCGGGCUCAACCUGGGAACUGCAUCCAAAACUGGCAAGCUAGAGUACGGUAGAGGGUGGUGGAAUUUCCUGUGUAGCGGUGAAAUGCGUAGAUAUAGGAAGGAACACCAGUGGCGAAGGCGACCACCUGGACUGAUACUGACACUGAGGUGCGAAGGCGUGGGGAGCAAACA